AAAAUAAUAUAUUGAUGUCUAUUAAUAAUGCAAGAAAACUAUAGUUUUGCGACAAUGGAAGACAUAAGAUCAGUAGGCAGUAGCAUAAAGAGCUCAGCCUUCCAUAGUUCCAAAUCAGUCAGGAUUAAGAAAAAAAAUCCAUAUUUCAAUGUAAAAUAAUACUUCCUCAAACAUUCAAAGUGUUGAACCCUACAAAUACAUACAACUUAGCUUAGCUUAAAUUAUUGUACAGAAACACAUAAGGUAGUAGAGAAACUCCCUCAUCAUAAGAACAUAACCACAAGGCUCCUUUCUCCGGAUUGCUCACUGAGAUUAUUGGAAUGCUAGAAGAACUCUUUGCAAGUCUAGAUAAACGACAACUGUUGUUUCCAAAAAAAAGCAAGAAGAAAUCACAAAACAUAUAAUUACUGAGUCAAAAAUAUCAAAACCACAAACGAAACUAAUAAAGCUAGCAUCACUUAUCAUUCUCCUAAUAAAUUGAUCGAAAAAAACAGGAUAGCAACCAAAAAACUUACUGAAAUUUAAACUUUUUAUUUUAAGCUGAAAUUAGAAGUAAAAAGUUAGGCACCAAUAAGAGUUCUUCCUGAAUAUCUAAACAUACGUCCCUAGAAAAACAAUAGGUCGAAAUAUCAGUUAAACGUGCAAAGCCUGACAUUCAUUUCCAUAAAUGUUGAACCACAUGUACAUGACCAAACCACACGUAUGUUAUCAAGGUUCCUUCCCAUAAGUAGUACUUCGUAGUUGAUUUUCAUGUGACAGAAAAGAAAAGGUGAAAUCAAUGGUUUUUUAGGUUUUAAAACCAAAAGCAAUAUUUUUUGUUAUCCCUGGGAAUGAAACAAAAAUUAUUUGUUUGAUGGUCUACUACAUCCAAAUAUUUAACCUAGAAUAACAGAUAUCAGCUAUAACAGAGAAACAAUAUAUACAAUCCUAUGAAGGCUAAAAACAGAUAAAAGGUGCAACACUUCCACAUUUACCUACAUAUUUCCAAUUAAAUGGGCAAAAAGAACCAGACCCGAGAUGGCAAUAAGUGUAACAAAUGCAGUUUUCAAACCCUGGCCGAUGGAACUGAAAAUAUAAAAAGCAAAAAAAUCCGUUAAAAGGUUAUAUAAUCAACCUUCACAGAACACUUUUUACCACUACUCACGCAUUCUAUGCGGAUGAAGUAUAUAAGUUUGGAACAGAGCUAUUUUACGUUGCAAAAAAAAAGUGAUUAUCAAUUUAUGAGUCAUGAAGAUAAUCAUAUGUUUAGUCUUUGCAUGAGUACGGGGGAGGGGGACCAAAAGCUUCAAUUAAUUCCCAAGCAUUGAUUCAAACAGCAAAUAAAGAUGAUAAAAGUUUCAUCUGCCAUCACUUGUAAUGGAAUUCAACUUUUUUGGUACUUUCAUAAAUUUGUACCUCAGAUUCUGCAAGCCCUACCAAAACCAGUAGAAUUACUUCUCAAGAAAGUCAGAUGAGACAACCUUUUGUGUGAUAGCAUUUGCAAAUAUCCCAUAAUAAAAAAUAGUAAUGUUUUUUGGAUUACAGCCAUUAAACACCUGAGUAUUGUUUCCUCACAGUUUGCUUUCAUCUUUGUUCAAAGUACCACAAUCCAAAUAAGAGAGACUGCACUUUCAUGUCUAUAAGCAUACUUGCAAUACGUCACCUGACGCUCAAUUGACAACAGAUACCAUGAGGCUCCUAAGACCUACAAGAUCAGAAGGCUAAUCAUUGCAAGACUGCUAAGAGUAGAAUACUAUUCAGACCCAAAAGCAUUUUUAUACAGAAGUAGACAAAAUAGUAAUGCUAAAUCAUCUAAAAUAGAAGAAUGAUAGCCCGUCAUGCUCCAACUGAAGAAUUAAGAAUACUGGAAAACAGAAUUUAGGGAGUCUUGCCCUUAGUAUUUUCACCUAAAGUGGUUGUUGCUCUUAAAACUGUUCCUCUACCCUUGAGCAAGACUUCUACUAUUGCAGCAUGCAAUGGCCCAGCUAUUAACAAAAUAUUAGCAUACAAAAUUUGACUUGAGAUUAUAUACAUGAUUAGCCAACAUAUAGAGCAGGAGGUUAUAGGUAGCCCCAGCCUAAGCAGUCUUUCUGACUAUUCCAGUGGCUUUAAUGAUCUCAGAAUCGUGGAAAGUAUUGGAGCAAAACAAUCAGUAGAAGAGCAUUGUUGGUAUAAUCAGAAUAGAGCCUCUAAUUGCCAGAAUAAUAAACCAUGUCACAAUCUGCAAAAAAUAUCCGAACUCAUUUUUGCUUAUGAUUUAAAUUCUGUGAAUUAAAAGAGGCUAAUAAUACACAAGCUCCACAUACGAGGAUCCAAAAUAAAAACCUGUGCACAAGUUUAUUUUCACUACUACUUAAGAGUAUUAAUUAAAUAAAAGUUUAUGGAUAAUGACAUCCAGAAUAGCUUAUUUUCCAAUCUUUAACCUACAACCUGAUGAGAGAAAGGGACUUCUGGGAAGUAAGGAACCAAAUGAAUUAGAAACACCAUAACUUCCCUCGAUCAAUCUAAUUUAAUCAUAUUCAAAAUAGAAAACCCAUUAUUCAAAGAAAAAAGAACUCCCUCAUGAUUAAUGCUCUAUGACAACACUGGCUGGAGUUAAUACUUGAAAGAUGUGCUAAGAAGAUCUUAGCCUUCCAUAGUUCCAAAUCAGUCAGGAUUAAAAAAAAAAGAAUUAUAUUUCAAUGUAAAAUAAUACUUCCUCAAACAUUCAAAGUGUUGAACCCUACAAAUACAUACAACUUAGCUAGCUUAAAUUAUUGUACAUUCUCUAGUAAGAAUAUUAGGAGUUAAUACUGUUGACUAAAACAGAAACACAUAAGGGAGUAUAGAAACUCCCUCAUCAUAAAAACAUAACUGCAAGGCUCCUUUCUCCGGAUUGCUCACUGAGAUUAUUAGAAUGCUAGAAGAACUCUUUUCAAGUCUAGAUAAACGACAGUUGUUGUUUCCAAAAAAAGCAAGAAGAAAUCACAAAACAUAUAAUUACUGAGUCAAAAAUAUCAAAACCACAAACGAAACUAAUAAAGCUAGCAUCACCUCACCCUUCUCCUAACAAAUUGAUCGAAAAAACAGGAUAGCAACCAAAAAACUUACUGAAAUUUAAACUUUUUGUUUUAAGCUGAAAUUAGAAGUAAAAAGUUAGGCACCAAUAAGAGUUCUUCCUGAAUAUCUAACCAUAUGUCCCUAGAAAAGCAAUAGGUUGAAAUGUUAGUUAAACGUGCAAAGCCUGAUAUUCAUUUCCAUAAAUGUCGAACCACAUGUACAUGACCAAACCAGACCUAUGUUAUCAAGGUUCCUUCCCAUAAAUGUCUGUCCAUAAAAAGACGAGUUGGGUAAGAAGAAACUUUUUAUUCUCAACCAGAACUAAUUGUCAGACACAGACCAAACUAAUGAUCAAGAUGAUUGGCCAACUUUAAUCUAUCUACUUAACAAACAUAUUUUAAAAAAAGAUUAGCUAAAAAGAAAAGACUCCAAACAGAUACUUGACAAUCAACCCACUAAAUGGAUUUUCAAAAUAAGAAGGAAAACAGAGAAUGGAUUAAAACUCCCUACAGAAAGAUGAUCACUAAAAUCUUAUUGUUACACCUAAUAAGAUCAUUAAAUACAUUUUACCCAUAAUAUUUAAGAUGCAAAGCAAAGCAGAAUUAUCGAAUAGAAAUAAAAAGUGAAAUAAUUUACCAUUUUGGUACUUGAGGCUCUUUUUCCCUUCUCUCAGUUGGAUGCUUUCUUGAUUGAAUUUAUUUAGAGCUUCUAUAACCAAAAAAGAGUGCAAAAAUAGCUCUACUCCCAGUAGAAAAGAAAUGAAAAUAUAUGAUAUAAAUAAAUAAACCACAGGCAAUCGAUUUCUUGUUCUUACUAAAGCGUCCAACAAUAUAAAUACAAACAAAAAUCACAUAAAAAUUUGCAGCUAGCUAACCUUCAAAAUUUGCAUCAUUAUACUGCAAUUGACCCAGGCUGGAGAGCGGACAAGGUAGCCAAUGUGUGCUAAAAUGCCAUGAUGCAUAGCAUGUAAUACAGAAGACGACAUAGCCAAUAUAUGCCAAAAUGCCAAAAGAAUUUCUUUUUUUAAAAAAAAGUAUUAGCAAACAUUUUAGUAAAAUAGAAGAUAUUUAUUUCAUAUUUUUAUCUAAACUG
RNAcentral lists this long non-coding RNA (4110 nucleotides) under Ricinus communis (castor bean). RNAcentral's name for it is "long non-coding RNA (RCOM_LNC003240)". Lineage: Eukaryota; Viridiplantae; Streptophyta; Magnoliopsida; Malpighiales; Euphorbiaceae. The record is from RNAcentral.